CCUACGGGAGGCAGCAGUGGGGAAUUUUGGACAAUGGGCGAAAGCCUGAUCCAGCAAUGCCGCGUGAGUGAAGAAGGCCUUCGGGUUGUAAAGCUCUUUUGUCAGGGAAGAAACGGUGAGGGCUAAUAUCCCUUGCUAAUGACGGUACCUGAAGAAUAAGCACCGGCUAACUACGUGCCAGCAGCCGCGGUAAUACGUAGGGUGCAAGCGUUAAUCGGAAUUACUGGGCGUAAAGCGUGCGCAGGCGGUUUUGUAAGUCUGUCGUGAAAUCCCCGGGCUCAACCUGGGAAUUGCGAUGGAGACUGCAAGGCUAGAAUCUGGCAGAGGGGGGUAGAAUUCCACGUGUAGCAGUGAAAUGCGUAGAGAUGUGGAGGAACACCGAUGGCGAAGGCAGCCCCCUGGGUCAAGAUUGACGCUCAUGCACGAAAGCGUGGGGAGCAAACAGGAUUAGAUACCCUGGUAGUCCACGCCCUAAACGAUGUCUACUAGUUGUCGGGUUUUAAUUAACUUGGUAACGCAGCUAACGCGUGAAGUAGACCGCCUGGGGAGGUACGGUCGCGAAGAGUAAACGUUACGAAGUAAGUUAGUUAGGCGNGAGACGNGCGACGGACGACGACGAGGGAGGAGG
RNAcentral lists this ribosomal RNA (628 nucleotides) under uncultured bacterium. RNAcentral's name for it is "bacterial SSU rRNA". The stretch from base 1 to 542 matches the Rfam family "Bacterial small subunit ribosomal RNA", at positions 338 to 873 of the family's 1533-position model. The record is from RNAcentral.